AAAGUCGUAACAAGGUUUCCGUAGGUGAACCUGCGGAAGGAUCAUUAUUGAAUAAGUUGAGAGGUUGUAGCUGGCCCUUCGGGGCAUGUGCACGCCUUUCAAACUCAUCUCAACCACCUGUGCACCUUUUGUAGACCUUGAAUUGUGGAAAGGGGCUUUAAAGCCCCUUUCUGUUUUCCAGCGUCUACGUUUUUACAAUACACGCUUGAAUGUCAUUAGAAUGCAUUUGAUGGGCCUCAGUGUCCUUUAAAAAUAUAACAACUUUCAACAACGGAUCUCUUGGCUCUC
This 288-nucleotide unclassified non-coding RNA is filed under the name Basidiomycota sp. RNAcentral describes it as "partial contains small subunit ribosomal RNA, internal transcribed spacer 1, and 5.8S ribosomal RNA". The stretch from base 1 to 47 matches the Rfam family "Eukaryotic small subunit ribosomal RNA", at positions 1785 to 1831 of the family's 1831-position model. Lineage: Eukaryota; Fungi; Basidiomycota. The record is from RNAcentral.